RNAcentral lists this ribosomal RNA (253 nucleotides) under uncultured bacterium. RNAcentral describes it as "partial 16S ribosomal RNA". It matches the Rfam family "Bacterial small subunit ribosomal RNA", at positions 524 to 776 of the family's 1533-position model. The record is from RNAcentral.
UACGCAGGAUGCAAGCGUUGUCCGGAUUUACUGGGCGUAAAGCGCGCGCAGGCGGCUCUUUAAGUCUGGCGUGAAAUCUCCCUGCUCAACGGGGAGGGUGCGUUGUAGACUGAGGAGCUUGAGGUCGGUAGAGGGGGGUGGAAUUGCUGGUGUAGCGGUGAAAUGCGUAGAGAUCAGCAGGAACACCCGUGGCGAAGGCGGCCCCCUGGGCCGUACCUGACGCUGAGGCGCGAAGGCUAGGGGAGCGACCCGG